AGUGAACGCUGGCGGUAGGCCUAACACAUGCAAGUCGAACGGCAGCACAGUAAGAGCUUGCUCUUACGGGUGGCGAGUGGCGGACGGGUGAGGAAUACAUCGGAAUCUACUUUUUCGUGGGGGAUAACGUAGGGAAACUUACGCUAAUACCGCAUACGACCUACGGGUGAAAGCAGGGGAUCUUCGGACCUUGCGCGAUUGAAUGAGCCGAUGUCGGAUUAGCUAGUUGGCGGGGUAAAGGCCCACCAAGGCGACGAUCCGUAGCUGGUCUGAGAGGAGGAUCAGCCACACUGGAACUGAGACACGGACCAUACUCCUACGGGAGGCAGCAGUGGGGAAUAUUGGACAAUGGGCGCAAGCCUGAUCCAGCGAUACCGCGUGGGUGAAGAAGGCCUUCGGGUUGUAAAGCCCUUUUGUUGGGAAAGAAAAGCAGCAGGUUAAUACCCCGCUGUUCUGACGGUACCCAAUGAAUAAGCACCGGCUAACUUCGUG
RNAcentral lists this ribosomal RNA (492 nucleotides) under uncultured bacterium. RNAcentral describes it as "partial 16S ribosomal RNA". It matches the Rfam family "Bacterial small subunit ribosomal RNA", at positions 29 to 507 of the family's 1533-position model. The record is from RNAcentral.